This is a long non-coding RNA of Hippopotamus amphibius kiboko, 1622 nucleotides long. RefSeq lists it as uncharacterized. The record is from RefSeq and is a predicted model, not a curated record. The transcript is spliced from 3 exons. NCBI's taxonomy places the organism in Eukaryota, Metazoa, Chordata, Mammalia, Artiodactyla, Hippopotamidae.
GGGUGCGGCCGAGGGCCCCGCCCCCUUCUUCGCCUUGAGUUGCUCUGGGCGUGCGUUCGGGGUGCUGGGGUGUGGAGGUGGCGGCCUUCGCGGCGCCUGUGGUGGGUGUCCGGCGGGCUGGCCGGUGGACGGGCUGCGUGGGCGUCAGGGGCGAGAGUGCGGCCUGCGAGCCGUGGGUGGUGGCAGGCGGGAGGCGCGAGGCGCGCCGGGACCCCGCGGUUUUCCGCCGCCCCGCCGGCCCCUGCUGGCGCUUUGACUCCCAGCUUUGCUCUGCUUAAUGAAGGGAAAUUGAGGGUGGGUCGGAAGUUCAGGGGAGUCAGCUGUUUUUUCUCCUUGAUAGCUGCCCCUCAUCUCCAAACCGCUGAGAAUUUGUACUUACUUCCCCUGAAACGGUGGGCCUGAGACCCACCUGAGUAUUUGAGGGGAGGAAGGGGUUCAGUUGAAGCAUGGAAAAAAAAUUGCAAGCAUAUUUGCGUACUUUUUAAAAGAUUCUCAGAUCACUAAGUUAAGCAUCUGGGGUCAUGACGUUACACCUGGAGAGAGGAGAAUGCAGCCCUAGCACUCCAUGGCCCCUGCAGGGCAGUGAAUGCUGUUCUCCACAGACAAUAACAAAAUAAAUACUGCUCAUGAGUUGUGGCUUUUACAGUUAUUGUGCAGACCAAACACAGAAAUUCUAAAAUAGGGUGACAGACCGGAAGGUCAAUGUUUUCAACCUUGAUGAAAUGGGAAAGGUACAGCUGACAGAAGACAGCUGAUAGUAGAAUGACAGCCAGCAAAUGUAGAAGGAAUAAUGGUGUUAGAAGUAAAAGGGGAAGGGCCUUCCCUGGUGGUGCAGUGGUUAAGAGCCCGCCUGCCAAUGCAAAGGACACGGGUUGGAUCUCUGGGCCAGGAAGAUCCCACAUGCAGUGGAGCAACUAAGCCUGUGCGCCACAACUACUGAGCCUGUGCUCUAGAGCUGGCGAGCCACAACUACUAAAGCCUGUGAGCCAUGACUACUGAAGACUGCACACCCGUAGCCGGUGCUCUGCAACAAGAGAAGCCCCCACAGUGAGAAGCCCGUGCACCACAACCAGAGAAAGCCUGUACGCAGCAGCGAAGACCCAAUGCAGCCAAUAAAUAAAUAAAUAAACUUAUUUAAAAAAAGUAAAAAAGGAAGGGAGGGUAAGCUCACAAAUCCUUUUCUUCUGAAUCCAGGCAUACUAAAAGGAAGAAGAAUUCCUCUGUAUGGAAAAAUGACAUUUUUAAAUAUCAAACCCAUUGCUUGGGCAUUUUCUAUGAUAACAUUAGGGACUGAAAUGCUAAAUUCUGUCUUCAGUUUCUACUAUGUAAAGCUUUUUUUACAUCUAUACAAGAUUUCAGAAGUGGCCUUUUACCAAGCCCAGAUGAUUUUAAUGAUCUGGAAUGCUCUUAAUGACCUGACCGGGUAUUUUCACAACAACUCUAAGGCUGACUGCUGUUCCAGUCGUCACCGUUCUGUUUUGUAUGGUGCCCCUUUAUAUGCAAUAGCCUUCCUGCUUCCCUGGUUCCCUUGGAAAUACUACCAGGAAGGUGACUGGCUGAGUGGGCUUCACCUGGUGGUGUCAUUAUGUGCUUUUGAUAGCACGCUGACCUUUGUUCAGCAG